AUACGGAGGAUCCGAGCGUUAUCCGGAUUUAUUGGGUUUAAAGGGUGCGCAGGCGGCCAUUUAAGUCAGCGGUUAAAUCGUGGGGCUCAACCCCAUUCUGCCGUUGAUACUGGGUGGCUUGAUUGCGGUCGAGGCUGGCGGAAUUCGUUGUGUAGCGGUGAAAUGCAUAGAUAUGACGAAGAACACCGAUUGCGUAGGCAGCUGACCAGACCGCAAAUGACGCUCAUGCACGAAAGUGCGGGGAUCGAACAGGAUUAGAUACCCUGGUAGUCCGCACAGUAAACGAUGAAUACUUGUUUUCGGCGAUAUAAUGUCGGAGGCAAAGCGAAAGCGAUAAGUAUUCCACCUGGGGAGUACGCCGGCAACGGUGAAACUCAAAUGAAUUGACGGGG
Molecule: ribosomal RNA, 392 nt
Filed under: uncultured bacterium
Lineage: Bacteria
Description: partial 16S ribosomal RNA
Rfam family: Bacterial small subunit ribosomal RNA
Source: RNAcentral